Molecule: ribosomal RNA, 497 nt
Filed under: uncultured bacterium
Lineage: Bacteria
Description: partial 16S ribosomal RNA
Rfam family: Bacterial small subunit ribosomal RNA
Source: RNAcentral
GAUGAACGCUGGCGGCGUGCCUAAUACAUGCAAGUCGAGCGAACAGACGAUGAGCUUGCUCCUCUGACGUUAGCGGCGGACGGGUGAGUAACACGUGGAUAACCUACCUAUAAGACUGGGAUAACUUCGGGAAACCGGAGCUAAUACCGGAUAAUAUAUUGAACCGCAUGGUACAAUAGUGAAAGACGGUUUUGCUGUCACUUAUAGAUGGAUCCGCGCCGCAUUAGCUAGUUGGUAAGGUAACGGCUUACCAAGGCGACGAUGCGUAGCCGACCUGAGAGGGUGAUCGGCCACACUGGAACUGAGACACGGUCCAGACUCCUACGGGAGGCAGCAGUAGGGAAUCUUCCGCAAUGGGCGAAAGCCUGACGGAGCAACGCCGCGUGAGUGAUGAAGGUCUUCGGAUCGUAAAACUCUGUUAUUAGGGAAGAACAAAUGUGUAAGUAACUAUGCACGUCUUGACGGUACCUAAUCAGAAAGCCACGGCUAACUACGUG